UUAUGAUAAUUCCUAUGCUAUGAUUUUGUCAUUUCAACAGAUGGCCAAGUUCUGGUUGAAUUACAAAGACUAAGUUGAGUUAUUUACAUUUUCCAUGUUUACAUGGAUAAACAUUUUGAAAUUGAUAUACUAAUUUGAACUUUACCAUUCAUUUAUAGCAAUGUGUUGAGUGUGUUUAUUCUAUUCAUUUGCCAGGUUCCAGAGAGCUAAAGAUACAUAAGAUGACGUGGGUAGAAAACAUAUACAGGAGUAAGCAUUCAUUAAUGGAAAACUUAGAGGCAAACAUAAAUAACCUGAAUCUUUAAGACAAAAUAGCUUGUAGGAACUAUUCUACAAGAUGAAGAAUGGGAUAAAAGUUCUCAUCUUGAGAAACUUCAUUUGAAGAACCUGGAAGACAGGACACAAUGUAAGGUAGUGUGGAGCACUAUUAUCUUAGUAUUUAUAAUAAAUUUCAAGCAGAGAAGAGUGAAGAUACAUCUGGAGAGACAAAUAAAUCCAGGUCAAGAUAAAUUAGCAGUGACAUGCAAGGUAGUUUGAACUUCAUUCUGUAGGAACUAGGGAGACAAUGAAGGGUUUUAAGAGAUAAUUUCUGAUUUAAAUCGGAUACCACAAUAAUUGGGUGGAGAACAGACUUGACGGCAUAAGAUUAGAAGAAGGGGAAUUUCCAUCAUGGCUCAUCAGAAAUGAAUCUGACUGGCAUCCAUGAGGACACAGGCUCAACCCAGCCUUGCUCAGUGGGUUAAGGAUCUGGCGUUGCUGUGAGCUGUGGUGCAGGUCACAGACACAGCUUGGAUCGGGAAUGGCUGUGGCUGUGGCAGCUAUGGUCAUAAAAUGACCAGAAAAAAAAAUUAGAAGGGAAAUCAGGUAAGAGAAUGUUGAAAUGGUUCAGGAGAGGGAUGUUUUGAACCUCAACAAUAAUAGUGGUGCUAGUGAUGAAGAGAUGGGGAAAUUUUCAAGACAUAUUUAGGAGAUAAAACUGCCAAGACAAGGGGCAACUGCCAAUAUCAACAGGCAGAGAGAGAUAGAAGAAUCAAAAGUAAUUAUUCUUGGAUUUUUCAUUCUAGUGACCAGGUAGACAGUGUGGCAUCAACAAGAUUAGAUAAUAAAAAAGAUGACAUUUGAGAGAAGGAAGAGGACAAGAGAUGAGAGGGAGGGAGGAGGGAAUUUUUACUGAUCAUUGCACUUGCAGGCAAACUGGCUCUUUUACAUUAGUGGAUGCUGAAUAAUAAUGUAGUGACAUCAGAAGGUGUUCAUUAUAUUUGAAGAAUUUUAAUACAGAAUGUGUAUUCUCAGCUACAUUAGCAUAUUUAUUAUUUGAUUUCCACUUUAGCAGUUGGAAUACUAGAACAUUUUAUUAGAAUUUCUAUUUUUCAAGUGUUAUUCGUAAAUGAAAAACAUGAUAAGCUCAUACUUUUGUAGAGAAAAACAACAGGGAAUUUAACUGAUUUUUCAGGAAUUCCUUUAUUCUUUCCCAGGAUCAGCCCUUAAGAUAUAAUUUUAAAAGUUUAAGGAUAUUUAUCAAGCAUCUGUAUAUGUAUUAAUGAGUUAAGGAUUUAUCAGCCUUACUUCCAUUAUUCCGUGGAAUUAUGGCUGAAAUAAAUAGAUAGCUCAAGCUAUCCAUCUGGUUCAUGUUUACUAGGAAAUUAAUGUUCAGGUUUCUUAGACUUGGUCUUACUUCAUAAGUAAGAUGCAGUUGGUAAAACCUAACCCAAGACCAAACAAAAAAUGAUUUCAAAGUCUGCCUGUGUGUAAAUAAGAAAGGCCUGUGUUCUCUUAACCAACUCUGGAAAUAUAUACACUUUUGUGCAUUUUUCAUUCAAUAAAAAAUUACUAAAAGGCUAUAAAUAUUAUAUCAUAUGAUGAUAUAAAGAUAUGAUGACAAAAAAUUUAUAGCAAUCCUAAAAUAAAAUACCUUUAGAUUUCUCAUAUUUUUGUAUCAUCGAACACUUAAAAAUUCUUUAUACACAUUUGUAAUACUAUACUCCAUAGAAUUAUACUUGCAAUAAAAUGUUAGGAAGUAAUUUAUACCAUUAUCUGUUAUGUAUAUGAUGCCAAUGAUUAAUUUUUGUUAUGCUACAGUUUCUUUUCACUAAAAAGUAUUAUCUAUAUGGUUGGCACAAAGGUGGUCCAUAGUAACAAAAGCUUUCUAAACUUCUAAGUUAUGCCUUUUAAUUUUUUCUAAGUUAUUAUGGCUAUAACAUAUUAGAUGAUACUUGGGUGACCUAAAAUACAUGCUUUCCUAAGCACUUAAAGAGUACUACACUUUGGCAGUGGGAAAAUCUGGCAUUUUAUGUUUAACCAAUUACAACAAAGGAUGUUCUUCAUAUUUGUUGCUGAUUUUAUAAAUAGUCUUAGAAUACUACUUAAGUCUCAAAGGAAUGAAAUACCAUCUUCCAGAAAUCAUUAAACUGCUUAAUCUAAAAUGACUUAACACCAAUGAGCAACAGGAAAUGGUCUAUCUAUACAACUACACCUUGUCAGGACACUUUAGUGGAAAACUGGUUUAACUUCUUAGCACACUUCAGGUUAAGUCUUUGGGUCAUGAGUAUCAGAAUAUUUGAAAUAUGGUGUAGACACAGAUGUGAUUUCCAGUUUUCUUUGUAAAGCAAGUCAUAAUUAUUUCAUUUUCAGACUUUGUUUUGUAACCAUUGCCUUUGUAAAAAUUGUGCUCAACAUUAUAUUUUUUUUUUUCCUGAACUGGUUUUAACAUGUUACUCCACAGCUGUUUGAGAGCAAGUAAAUUAAUAUUUUCUCCAGGGAAGAGAAAUAGUAAUCUUAAUAUUACCAUGAAAAGAAACAAUGGUUCUAGGGCAUCAACCAGCAAGGCCAAUAUCCCUAUAAUCCUACUACAAGGGUGAUAUUCAUUUAAAUGAGUGUCUUCUGGGAAAUUUUUCAGCAUCAUUCUGAGACACUUUCAACACGAGAAAUAACAUACACUUGUUAAUUUUCUAGUUACCAAAGGGUCAGAUUAAAAAGAUUUGUUGCAGCUGAGGGAUUUUUCAAGGUUAUAGCCCAUCAAACAUCAAAACAUGAGAUGCACAAGAUCCUGAAAACAAUUCAGUAAUGUUCGUUUUUAUAUUCAGCGGUGAGUCCCUGGGAAGUAAGUGGAUGUCCUUGACACUGUACUAUGGUUAGUUUCUGCUGCUCUAGGCAUUUUGCUGAGUACUGUUUUUACCUUUAUGGUCAUGCAGUCAUAAACAGUGCCAGGGAAUGGUGAAAUAAGUACGUGAACUUAUUUGGUCUUGUUUACAGUACGAAUUCAGAAAACAUGGGACUCUAACGAUUAGAAUGAAUGCUUAUUGCUUUUUGUGUGCUUAAAUAAUAGAAUAUGGUGGUUUUUAAUAAGUAGAGUGGAAUAAACUUGCAGCAAAAAUUUUUUUUGGCUUAUGACUAAUGUUUGGUUUUACUUGAAACUAAACUAUUAGACUUGAAAUACAGUGUGUUGUGGAAGUCCAGUUGAUUAUUUCUUCACAGAAGUAAAUCUCCAUAUCAAUGCAAGUAAGUCUUAGAAUUUUAAUAUUGUUAAAGCCAAAAAUGUAUUAUGGUUCAUAAUUUAUGAUUUCACAAGUGAAUUUACAGUAAUUGCAAAGAAUAUACAAAUAGUCAGUGAAAGGACAAGCUCCUUGGGAUGGAAAUAUGCCUCAUUAGUAUUCAUUACUGGGAGACAAUAUAAAAAGUAAAACAGCUCUCAACAACUGAAUUAAUAAUAUAUCUGUAUUAUUAUAAAAAGUUACUGUUAAGUAUUUUUUCUAUUUGCAUUCCAGAGACAUGUCUGAUUUUAAUAAAGAGACGAAUGUUGUCAGAUGUGGUUCCAAAGUUCAUGCUUAAUAUAACACUGACAAAAACCUUUAUUUUGCUAUUAAAAUUUUUCCUGAGCCUAGUAUCUAUAAAUUGAAGUGGAUAUUUAAUAUUAAAUGGGAACAUUAGUGCUUUAAAGGACUAUGUCAUUCGAAUGUACUCUAUAUCCCUCGUCUGUCACAUGGUAAGAUUUCUCUAAAUGCUCAUGGAGUGACUUGAUGAUUUCACAUACAAGCAUCCUGAAGAAUCUACAAUUCAUAACCCUAGUGUACAUUAUCUCAUUAGCUGUGCAAAGUACUUUGGCACAUUAUGCAUUUGAUAUAAAACUAGAACUUUGAAAGUUCUUUUAGAUAUAAAUUUGGUAACUUUUUGGAUCUAAAAUUUAGAUAGCUUUUAAUUUUGCAAGGCAAAAUGACUUGCUGUAUCCUUAGCAUGGACAGCAAGAAAGAGGUUUUGACAGCUACACCGUGCUCUCCAAAUACACAUCAGAUGUUAAUUUACCUUAAAGAUUCAUUUUUUUCAAAGAUGGACAUUAUUUCUUAUCAAUUAAAAUAGUCACUAAAUAGGCCGUUUACUAGGUAACAUAGUGGAAAAUAUUACCAUGGAAAAUAGAAUCUCAGAUGGGUUUAGUGCCUUAAGAUUCAUCACAGGGAAUGAGAACGCCUCAAUAUACAUACCAAGUGAAAAUUACUUAAAAUCAUAAAAAUGUACAUGGUGUAAACCAAAGUAUUAUCUUGCUUGAUUUGUAUUUAACAGCAUUUUAGUAAAAGCACAUUACCUUUAAUAUUUUGACCAUUUCACCACUAUUAAAUUCCUCAUGGGGGAGUUUCCAUCAUGGCACAGUGGUUAAUGAAUCCGAGUAUGAACCAUGAGGUUGCAGGUUCGAUCCCUGGACUCGCUCAGUGGGUUAAGGAUCAAGCAUUGCUGUGAGUUGUGGUGUAGGUUGCAGACGUGGCUCAGAUCCCCUGUCACUGUGGCUCUGGCAUAGUCUGGUGUCUACAGCUCUGAUUAGACCCCUAGUCUGGGAACCUCCAUAUGCCAUGGGAAGGGGCCCUAGAAAAGGCAAAAUAAAUAAAUAAAUAAACAAAUUCAUUCCUCAUGGGGUCUUGUUUCUCAUACAAUAUGGUCAUUGUAACUCUAAUAUAAUGAAAUGUAGCCACUAAGGUGAUGGCAAAAGAUUAUACAAUUUUUAACAUAACUGUAACAGUAACAUGAAAUUUAAAAAGAAAGCUGAGGAAAUGUCAACCUCAAAGUCUAUUUCAACACAGCAAUAAUUAACCUCCUUAGCCUCGAUUCCAUUAUUUACCAAGAAGGAUUAGAAAAGACACUUACAAUAUCUACUUGUAUUCUAAAUAUUCUUUGCAUAUAAUGCAUUUGUUAUGAUUACCAUUAUCACUAUUUCUAACACCAUUAAUUUUUUUGACCAAAUGCUCUAAGAAUUUAAGAUUAACAUUAAGAAAUCGGUUGCGUUUCUGUACACUAAUAAUGGAAUGCUAGAAAAGGAAUAUACAAAUACAAUACCUUUUAAAAUUGCAUCCCAAAGAAUUAAAUACCUAGGAAUAAAUGUGAGGAAGAGGUGAAAGACUUAUAUGCUAAGAACUAUAAAAUAUUAAUCAAGGAAAUUAAAAAGGAUGAAAAGAAAAGGAAAGAUAUUCUAUGCUCCUGUGUUGGAAGAAUUAAUUGUUAAAAUGGUCACACUACCCAAAGCCAUCUACAGAUUUAAUGCAAUGCCUAUCAAAUUACCCACGACAUUUUUCACAGAAGUAGAACAAACAAGCCAAAACUUUAUAUGGAACCA
This 5596-nucleotide long non-coding RNA is filed under the name Sus scrofa (pig). RNAcentral's name for it is "lncRNA (ENSSSCG00000061735.1)". The record is from RNAcentral. Lineage: Eukaryota; Metazoa; Chordata; Mammalia; Artiodactyla; Suidae.